RNAcentral lists this ribosomal RNA (473 nucleotides) under Escherichia coli. Its description in RNAcentral is "partial 23S ribosomal RNA". It matches the Rfam family "Bacterial large subunit ribosomal RNA", at positions 1241 to 1715 of the family's 2925-position model. The record is from RNAcentral. Lineage: Bacteria; Pseudomonadati; Pseudomonadota; Gammaproteobacteria; Enterobacterales; Enterobacteriaceae.
CUGUAAGCCUGUGAAGGUGUGCUGUGAGGCAUGCUGGAGGUAUCAGAAGUGCGAAUGCUGACAUAAGUAACGAUAAAGCGGGUGAAAAGCCCGCUCGCCGGAAGACCAAGGGUUCCUGUCCAACGUUAAUCGGGGCAGGGUGAGUCGACCCCUAAGGCGAGGCCGAAAGGCGUAGUCGAUGGGAAACAGGUUAAUAUUCCUGUACUUGGUGUUACUGCGAAGGGGGGACGGAGAAGGCUAUGUUGGCCGGGCGACGGUUGUCCCGGUUUAAGCGUGUAGGCUGGUUUUCCAGGCAAAUCCGGAAAAUCAAGGCUGAGGCGUGAUGACGAGGCACUACGGUGCUGAAGCAACAAAUGCCCUGCUUCCAGGAAAAGCCUCUAAGCAUCAGGUAACAUCAAAUCGUACCCCAAACCGACACAGGUGGUCAGGUAGAGAAUACCAAGGCGCUUGAGAGAACUCGGGUGAAGGAACUA